UGGGGGAUAUUGCACAAUGGGCGAAAGCCUGAUGCAGCGACGCCGCGUGGGGGAUGAAGGCUUUCGGGUUGUAAACCUCUUUCGCUAUCGAACAAGGCCCGCUUAGGGUGGGUUGAGGGUAGGUGGAGAAGAAGCGCCGGCUAACUACGUGCCAGCAGCCGCGGAAAUACGUAGGGCGCGAGCGUUGUCCGGAAUUAUUGGGCGUAAAGGGCUUGUAGGCGGCUUGUUGCGCCUGCUGUGAAAACGCGGGGCUUAACUUCGCGCGUGCAGUGGGUACGGGCAGGCUUGAGUGUGGUAGGGGUGACUGGAAUUGCAGGUGUAGCGGUGGAAUGCGCAGAUAUCUGGAGGAACACCGAUGGCGAAGGCAGGUCACUGGGCCAUUACUGACGCUGAGGAGCGAAAGCAUGGGUAGCGAACAGG
Molecule: ribosomal RNA, 420 nt
Filed under: bacterium
Lineage: Bacteria
Description: partial 16S ribosomal RNA
Rfam family: Bacterial small subunit ribosomal RNA
Source: RNAcentral